Dreissena polymorpha is the source of this 428-nucleotide long non-coding RNA. RefSeq lists it as uncharacterized. The transcript is spliced from 3 exons. The record is from RefSeq and is a predicted model, not a curated record. Lineage: Eukaryota; Metazoa; Mollusca; Bivalvia; Myida; Dreissenidae.
CAGCAAACAAUAAAAUAAAUCGUUUUAUUUCUAAAGGUUAUAAUGCGUAGACAUGCAAGCCUCAGUUUUUUGUUAAUUACGAAAAAUUGAUUGAUGCAAGCGACUUUUCUCUUGUACCAUCACGUUUCGUAACUUAAAGGGGGUGUGUGCAAAUACAAAGACAGGUGUUAUUUUGCAAAUAAUGUCUGCUCGAGGAGUACAGAGGUUUUUACCAGUGUUGGGUAUGCCAACAUCAGUGUUGCAGAUUGGUACAGUAACCAAAGAAACCAAGCAUGCGUUCCUAGUGAUACCAGGAAAUCCGGGCGUCAUAGAGUUCUACAAAUCUUUCAUGGAAAAACUGUACGAUAAUUACCAAGGAACAAUACCUGUGUGGGGGGUAUCACAUGCGGGUCACGUUAAACCACCAGACGGAAAUCAGGCCCUGUACA